This 29-nucleotide non-coding RNA is filed under the name Mus musculus (house mouse). The record is from RNAcentral. Lineage: Eukaryota; Metazoa; Chordata; Mammalia; Rodentia; Muridae.
UAGGAGAAAUAUCUGAAGGCUUACAUAGA